UACAGAGGGUGCAAGCGUUAAUCGGAGUUACUGGGCGUAAAGGGCGCGUGGGCGGUAGUAUGGGUGUGAUGUGAAAGCCCCGGGCUUAACCUGGGAAGGGCAUCGCAAACUAUAAUACUGGAGUAUAUGAGAGGGUGGCGGAAUUUCCGGUGUAGCGGUGAAAUGCGUAGAGAUCGGAAGGAACGUCAAUGGCGAAGGCAGCCACCUGGCAUAAUACUGACGCUGAGGCGCGAAAGCGUGGGGAGCGAACAGG
This 253-nucleotide ribosomal RNA is filed under the name uncultured bacterium. RNAcentral describes it as "partial 16S ribosomal RNA". It matches the Rfam family "Bacterial small subunit ribosomal RNA", at positions 524 to 776 of the family's 1533-position model. The record is from RNAcentral.